UUAGUUGCUCCAGGUCCACCUUUUCUUGUAGGUGAAAAAAUUUGAAGGGGGUGGUGUUUGCACACUGAACGGCAGGCCCGAUGACUGUGAUUAGAAGUCCCAGGUUAAUAGGUUUCUGACCCCAGUGCCCUAAUCUGCCUUGGCUUUUCCUGGUUGCCACCCACGUGCUCUUACAAAAGGUCUUACAAAAGGUCUUGUCUAGAUUGAAUACAGGAGCUGUGGGCCUUCUGGAGUCCUUCAACAAUGCAGACAUUGGACAGCCUUCUGCGCCUUUUAAGGAUGCCCGUAUUAUUUUUUGUUUGGUGUCUUGCUUGUUUGCACAUUUAACAAAAACCUACGGUAGGUGGUAAGAAAAUGAAGACUGUCAGAACUGGUGGACAACUCAUCUUCAACUCCAGUCCCUAAAAGUGGAGUGCAAAAGGAAUUAACUCUAGCCCAAGACGUGGUGAAGAGUCGGAUGCUUGUUUCCUAGUUAUUCUUGAGGAAGAAAUGGCAAACUGCAGAGUUCCCAGAUGUUAUGGAUGACCUCUCCUCAUCAUUACAGGUUCCCGAGAAUGUGAGUCCUAAGUCUGCACCUUUCGUCAAGAGUUCUAGGUUCACAUUUUCAGCUGUUUGUGGGUUGUUGGAUAUUUCUACAUGCAUGUCUUAUUGUCAGUUCUGACUCAGAAGCUCCAAAAACUUCUCCAAUAAACCUUUUUUUCCUAA
Molecule: long non-coding RNA, 705 nt
Organism: Panthera uncia (snow leopard)
Lineage: Eukaryota; Metazoa; Chordata; Mammalia; Carnivora; Felidae
Exons: 2
Source: RefSeq, a predicted model, not a curated record